RNAcentral lists this non-coding RNA (189 nucleotides) under Thermoactinomyces vulgaris. Its description in RNAcentral is "Lysine sequence". It matches the Rfam family "Lysine riboswitch aptamer". Rfam says of the family: Riboswitches are metabolite binding domains within certain messenger RNAs that serve as precision sensors for their corresponding targets. The record is from RNAcentral. Lineage: Bacteria; Bacillati; Bacillota; Bacilli; Caryophanales; Thermoactinomycetaceae.
CGGUGAGGUAGAGGUCGCGGUUUUUAUGAGUAGUUGAUUGGAGACACAGAGAAGUCGGCGAAAAUCAAUGAAAGGAAAGACCGCCGAAGCUUCAUUGUGUUCUCUGAUCAAUGAGGCUGGGGCUGUGCUCGAAUAGGGGCAGCACUGUCACAUUUGCCUGCCAAGCAAAUGUGUUGCGCUAUCUUGCGG